Molecule: ribosomal RNA, 253 nt
Filed under: uncultured bacterium
Lineage: Bacteria
Description: partial 16S ribosomal RNA
Rfam family: Bacterial small subunit ribosomal RNA
Source: RNAcentral
GACGCACCGUGCGAAUGUUGUUCGGAAUCACUGGGCUUAAAGGGAGCGUAGGCGGGCUAUCAAGUCUGGGGUGAAAUGCCGCGGCUCAACCGUGGAACUGCCUUAGAUACUGACGGCCUCGAGGGAGAUAGGGGCAUGCGGAACUGUAGGUGGAGCGGUGAAAUGCGUUGAUAUCUACAGGAACUCCGGUGGCGAAAGCGGCGUGCUGGAUCUCUUCUGACGCUGAGGCUCGAAAGCUAGGGGAGCAAACGGG